UAUCUAUUUGUCAACAUUGAUUACAAUGAAAAAUGGGACCUCACAUCCAAGUUAUUCUUUUGGAAUAAGCAACUGCGAGUAACACCAAUAUUUAGUUUAGCCUAUAGUUAUUUAUUUUUUGGACACACAAGAAAUUAGUAAUGAAGAUAUACAAAUUUGUAUACCGAACAGACACGUUUGCAUUUUCUCUUAAAUCAAUCAUACAUGAGUUACAAUACUCAUAUAAUGUCUAUUUUGCUUCAUUGCAAUCCAUUCUUAUGGAAUGAUGCGUUGCUUUUUUGAGUCCCACAACACCGCGCGGGGUAUCCACUAGUUGUCAUAUACUCCUUACGUCCAUAUUAAGUGACUCAAAGUUGCCCAAAUAUGAAUGUAUCUAUACCGAAAAAGCAGUUGGAUACAUUUAAUAUUUCAUCACUUAAUAUGAAAUUGAGGGAGUAUUAUAAAAACCAAAUGAUAACUGUACAAUUAAAAGAAAAGGAAAUAGCUAACUAUCUAGAGGAAGACAUCAUGUUCCAAAAUCUGCAUAUUUGUUUCUCCUUCAUCUGUGUCGGACAAGAUUUAAUUCCUCCAAGAAGAGCUCUCCGUAUCUUAGAGCCUAGGCUGAAUUUGGUUGAAAAUGUCAUCAUUUCUAGUUUUCCAGAUACUCCAUGCAGCCAGAACUUGAAUUUCCUUUUUUUUUCCCGAAGAACUUGAAUUUCCAUGUGGAAAGGAAUUUGCAGCUCGUCUUUCAGAUGUGAUAUAUUCUCAUGAACAUUAUGUUAAUUAGCCGUGAAAUGAGGGCAUAAAUAUGACCAACAUGCUGCGACAAAAGGGCAGUGGACGAACAUGUGGUAGUCUCCAAGACCCUGGAUCCACAGAGGACAUAAUCAUAUGAUGGAAGACGGAACCGUUUCUUCUGUAGCAUAGCACAAGUGUUGAGUUUAUCAAUGAGCAGCAACCAGAAAAAAAUUGUGUUUCAGUUGCAUCUGAUGCCCAAACCGUAGCCCCUCAGCCAUGGCCUCUGUUAACGACAUUUCUAACUGCAUGUCUGUGCUGACUAGGUAAGAAAUUUCUAGAAUUAAGUUCAAACAGUAGCAUAAAAUUGGAAUUUAAUAAAUCUCACUAUUUCAGCAAACCUAAAUGAACUGAAAUUUCAAAUGUGCAACAAGAAGAAUUUUUUAUGUUGGGCAAAAACCCAAAGUCCUCGGACAAGGUGGAGGCGGUGGCGGUGCGCUCACCCUUGAGAGCGUCGUUGGGGAAAUUCUAGAUCCACGCACGGGUGAGGGAUCUUUGGUCGGAGGGCAGCUGGGCGCGUAUCGAUUUCUCUACAUUGCGUCAUUCAAUGCUAGGCUUGGCAGUUUCAAUGUUUCAAAUUUAUGUCCUAAAGAUGGGUUGAUGGAAGACGGUGGGGGCUGAUUUUAGAGCGAGCGUAAAUAGCAUGCUCUGAAUGGCGAUGGUGUACAAGUAAGGCAUGUGGCCCAGAUAAAUGAUCACCUCUUCAUCAGCCUUGUGGGUAUAACUUGAUGGCUUUGUGUUUGAUCAUUUGAUGUAUCAUUCUAUCUGUCUUGUUAAGUACAACGACAAGUAUUUAGGAACGAAAAGAGUAAAUCAUAAAAAUGACUAUGUGCUUUUUUUUUAAUGGAGAGGCCAGAAUUUCAACCUUGGGAAGAACAAGAUGAAUUUUUAACUCCUUGAUGAAUUUGUACACUUUGUACUAACACGGAGCGAGCUGGCAACCGAUUAGUUCACUUUGUACUGACACGGAGCGAGCUGGCAACCGAUUAGUUCACUUUUACACGUGUGGCAUAAAAAGAGGCAGAGCAUACACGUGCCCGAUGAGGAGCUUCGUGCAGACUUGGGAGUCGAGACAUAGGCGAGGCUGCUCCGCCGGCCGACACCGCCCAUUGUUGCUGUUGCUGCCUUGCGCCGGCCCUUGCUUCUUUGCCACUUUGCCUUGCCGAUUGAUUUCUUCUGCACCUGCACACGACCGGCCACCAUGCGGCAGACAGAAGACGGGCUCCCAAUGAGGCGGUAAGAACCUUUCUCAUCCUCUUUCUAUCUGACCUUUCGUGGCAUUGCAUCAGAUCUAUUUCUGUAAAUAAUCUUGGCGCUUGUUAAGCCGGGUAAGAAGCCGAAAUAGUCAGUUAACUACACCUUAUUUUGAGGAGGUAUAUCUGCAGAUCAACGAGUCGCUCAAGCCAAAUGCGUGGAAUCGCACAAGAGGUGUGUACUGUGUAGAUGAACUUUUGUUCGAAAUCUUUUUUAAGUCGUACCCCCUCUGUUCCAAGUUGUUAUAGCUUUGUACUAAGUCAAAAAAUUUACAAUUUGACCAAAUUUUAUAGGAAUAUCUACCAAUAUCUAUAACUCUAUAUUAGUUUUAUUAAAUUCGUCAGGAUAUAUAUCUUCAUAGUAUACUUAUUUGAUAUUGUUUUUUAUGUUAGUACAGUUUCUAUAAACUCGUCAAAUUUUAACAAGUUUUACAUUGGACAAAGCUAGAGCAACUUAUAUUUAGGAAAAGAGGUAGUAGAAGAUUGUGGAUGUUAACAGAAGACAUACCCUGCUUACAUUAGCAAAUAAGUACUCCUUAUUAUGGAUUUCUUAUACAUAUAUCGAUAUAUAUAUACUAAUUCAUUAACGUUUACUGCAGCGUGCUAAACUGCAAGAUGCACCUUCGAAGAAUGCAAAAUGGAGAACAGUAGGUAACGGUAAUUUACAAUUGCAAAUUUAUAUUCAGAUGGUGCCUUUUCAUUCUGUAUAUAUACUCCCUCUGUCCAACAAAGGAUGUGUCAACUUUGACUAAAUUUGAAUGUAUCUAUACACUAAGUCAUGUCUAGAUACAUCCAAAUUUUGGCAAACUUGAGACAUCUUUUGUUGGACAGAGGGAGUAUCAGACUUCUUAAUCAGUUGAUCAAAUUUAUAUAUCAGACUUCAUGAAUAAAUAUUUUUGUCAGUAAAUGUAUGCAAAAUUGCUUGCAAUGCAAUAAUGCAUGGACAUGAAGACAUCUGUAACCUUAUUUUUUUUGGAGGGGAAGCUCAGAACCUCCACUAAAUCAGCGAUUGAGAAUUGCAGUCUGCCCAAAGACAAUGCAUCAAAAUGCUCAGUUUCAUAGCCCAAGCAAGCCCAAAUUUGGCACACCAAUGCGCUGAAGUAUGCGUAAGUAAGAAGACUGCUUAGGCUCCCUUUGGCAUUGCGGUGGAUUAUCAUAAUCCCGUUUUUUUCACCCGCUUUUCACUAUUUUCGUGUUUGGCUAACCAACUUUUCCCUACUUUUGUGUGUAUUUUUUCACAGCAGAUUAUAAAACAAGUUCAGCGCAGCACAGUUCAGCAAUGCCAAACUGAGCCUCAUUAAUAAAUUGUUUAGGAGAAGAUGCUUGCCAUCAUUAGUAACUUUUGAAUCUUAAUGAGGGGAAAUGAUGCUAAAAUGAACCCCGCAGAGGGAGCAACGAACUGGACCACAAUUCUUUGUUUUAGACAAUGGAAGCUUUACUGAGAUCACACUUCUACUUCACAUUUUACUCUGUAUCAUGUAUCCUGAAUUCCUCACCCUUCUAUCACUACUUUCAUCCAUAACUACAGCUUGUCGGUAGUCUCCACAAACCAUCAAUUCAUGGUUUUUAACAUUAAUGGUUGCCUGAAUUUUCUUCUUCUGUUUAGCAGAGUGCAUCCACCGCAAGACAGGUGUCUACUCGUUCAAGAAGAGGCGCAGAUGGUCAGAAGAGGAAAGUUAUAUUAGUUCUUAUCAGAGACUUUCAAUUUUUUUGCUGUAUACUUUGACAAUUUAAAUAUGAAAUAAAAAUGAAAUUAUUUCAGGAAGAUGACGUUCUGAUUCAAAUGGUACAAAAUCUUGGCACAAAGAAUUGGUCAACUAUUGCUUGUGCUAUGCCUCUUCGUAGUCGUUACCAAUGCCGGGAGAGGUACAGUUUACAGAAAUCACGCUAUUUGACUGAUUCCAUUUGGAUGCUAUUUCAAAAUUUAAGCGAUUCAACCUAGCCAUUUCUUUUGAUUCUAGCUAGAUUCAGUACAACUGUAGAAGUUCUGUAUUUCGAUGAGAUCUCUAGCUGCAUGUAUAUGCUUAGCUUUCUUUUCUUUACUGUGGCCAUGAACCUGUCAUUCACGACCAUGACUGCUGUUGUCUUGUUGAUCCUCGGGCAGCCUCAGGCUCAUUGUCAGCGUGGCCUACCUAUGGUGCCACACCUGCUAACUUACAUGUUGUAUGAUAAAAAGUAAAUUUAAUCUUUGUUGAUAAACUUCUUAUAUGUUUUACUUUUGGUGCUAAUGUCUUAAAAAUUCAAUACUAGGAAGUAAGAACACUAGUUAAUUUAUCAUGUUUGGUGUCCCUCAGAGAUGAGGGACUAUUUUUUUUUGCAUGAUGAUAUUUUUCGGAAACUCAGAUGCUGGAAAAAGUUGAAAGGAGAUGCUAGAAAUUUUGUUGCACUACACACCACAUUACAAAUCUACCUUUUGUUGUGGUGGCGAUUUCUGAAUUCUCGUUGUUGUGGUCUAUUAUUCCCUAUUUUAAAUUCACCCUUUCAUAGUAUUGUUUCUGAACUAAAUGAGGAUUUUCCAUAUGGAAAAUGGGGAUGCAGGUGGACAUAUUACCUCAACCCUGCUUUGAAUAGACAGGCAUGGUCAGAACAGGAUGAGGUAACACUGAUCCAUGCUCAUGAAAUGCAUGGAAACAAGUGGCGUGAACUGGCUAAACUUUUUCCAGGGAGGUAAGAUUCCAAGAAGGGGAUUAAAAAUUGAAAGACAAAUCUCUCGUAUUCAGUUUUUUUACGUGAAUCUCGUGCUCAGUUUGUUUAUUGUUUCCUUAUUCAUGGGAUUCCAGUAAUACUAUUAACCAGACCAUAUAGCUGAUCUCAAUCUAUGUUAUCACUAGUCAGUUACAGUACAGAUUGGCAUCCAUUAUGAAGUUAUGUACCUUCCGAUCAUCCAAAAUGGAUGGUCAACAGUAAUCUGGAUUUGUCUUUAAAAAACUGUAUCAUAUUUUCAUUAUUACUCUCUCCGAUCCAUAAAAAGUGUCGCACAUUUUGUACUAAGUUAGUACAAAUUUUGUACUAAGUGGGCGACACUUUUUAUGGAUAGGAGGGAGUACAUUGCGUUUCAUUUCAUUCUCCAAAAUGUAAAAUUCAGUGCAUUAUUCUUACCUAUAAUUUGUUGCAAAUGGUUAUGUCAUGUACUGCCAGGACGGGAAAAGCAGUAAAGAAUCACUGGAACGGUCAUAUGAAGAGGAAAUUGAAAUCGUAUUUAGCCAGAGGGUUGCCGAAGCAAUUCCAAAAUCUGCCCGUCGAUCCAUCAGUUUCAAACAGGGGCUGGAGUACCCCGAAAGGUAGUCAAGACUCAUUCAAUAAUAAUCAACUUCCAUCCGAUUUGCUGAUAUGGUCCGAAUCUAAGCGAGGGCUCACAGAGACUGGUGAAAACGCAAGUAUGCUUGAUGGACAAAGUUCUGAUUCCAUAAGGUCUGUGUCGGAAGGGAAGCCAAUGAGUUCUUCACCUAAAGGAUUUGGUGCACGUUCAGCUGAUGCCCAGCCAAAGGUGGAUGCAGGGGAUGGUCAAAUUGAUAGAGUAGUAUCAAAGUUUCCUGUAGUAACCGACAAUGACAUGGAAACGGUUGUGUCAUCAAGUUCAGUGGAUCUGAAGGUGUGCGUUGCUGCACCAAGUUUUGUAAGGUCUACGUCAGAGGAGAAGCAAAUGAGUUACACAGGCUUAUCUCCAGCUCAUAGUUCCCAAUCUCGUUAUGCACAUCUCGACGAGUUGUCGGAGCUACACCAGUCUGAUAUAGCUGAUCUUCUGGACAUGUCGUAUUGCGAGAGCUUGAUGAUCAUCCCUCCCGACUCUCCACAAAGUGGCAAUGGUGGCGUGCCUGGAAUGUGAUAUUAUCGUCUUAAGUAUGUCAGGUAUCUGCAACCUGCACUAUCUAGUUGGAGAAAAAAGUGAGACUUGUGCUCCUUGGUCUUGAAACGUAUGCAGCUUUAUCUUGAACCACCAAUGUAUCAUUCUCGUCGGGUUAUUAAGUGGAGGAGAUUUGCAAAAUGAUGUGUUCAUCUGUCCAUAAGGUCUGCAUUUCAUUCAGUUGACAAUGCUCCUAUUGGUACUGGAGAAGAGCAAAUGUUGUUCGAUGCAUCUCGACUAAGCACCUCUAAAGAAAAAGUAUGUCUUAAGCUGACUCGAUAGAGAUCGAGUUUUACGAUUAUAUUAGUAUUAUACUCCCUCCGUUCCAUAAUUUUUGUCGAAAUAUUACAAUUAUGAUGUAUCUAACGCCAUUUUUAAGCAAAUUUGAGACAAGAAUUAUGAAACAGAGGUAGUAUGUUAGAGUCUAACUCUUAACAAAAAGUCAAUUUUACCCUCCUCAAUUGCAUCAGCAAUUGUUCUAGGUAACAGUACAUGGAGUCCUCGUGUCUUGAUUCUGUAGAUGCUCUUCAGCUACCAUAUUGAUUCCUAUAUAUGCGCCAUAUCAAGUGAUCAACUACCUACCUGACAACCAAGAUUAUCCCCUGAGCAUAUAUCCUCCAUUAGCCCCAUUGAAAACAAGCCGAUGAGCCAAGAUGGUGGUCGGCACAGCUAAGCAGAAUCAACGCAGCCACACGAGGGAAGGAGUGGCCGGGAGCAUUCUCCUCCCCAUUUUCCCCGGGCAAUCUAAACAAGGCAAGGCAACGGCAACCACCCGGGGCAGAAACUGGGCGACACAGGGGAAGGGAUUUAAUCGUCUCCCCCGGCCCAGCCCCCCCGUCGACAUGCACCCCACGUUCGCGCCCUGCUUAAAUUAGGCAGGUGCCGCGCGAUCGCUCGACCCCGGACCUUUUUUUUUUAAUUUUUCCCCGGGGGCCGGACGGACGAAUCCGCCUUAAUUUCUUCUUGUUUCCCCUUCAAUUCGUUCCCCCCCAUGCCGGCCGUAUUCGUAGUAGCAGUCGUCGUCGUGCGCCGCAUGUCUUGGACGACGCCAGUUCUUCUCUCUUGAUUUUUUGCUUUGUGUUUGUUGCUCGCUCGGUCGCCCUGCUUCUUGUUGCUGCUGCCAUUGUUGUCGAUUCUGCUGCUGCUCUGAGGAAUUGUUGGUCCGACGGUGCUGCUAGCUAGCUGGUGAUCUUGGUCGACUUCGUCACGGCGGCAGCGGCGGUGCUCCAGCGUCCAGGGGGCCUGGACGCCUUGCGCACAAAGUUCCCAGCAGUUAGUGCGCGUUGGGCGUCAAGCUCGAGGCGGUGGGCUGGGUGAUGGUUCGGUUCCUCCGGCGCCACAGCCUUGACAAGAGCAGCUCCCGCAACCACCUGCAGCAGCAGCAGCAGCAGAAUCGAGAGGCAGACAACAGCGACGCCGAGAUGACCGACGGGAGCACUCCCCCGCUCCCCAAUGGCCGGGCCGCGCCGAGGGGCCGGCGCGACGGGCCGCCCUCAGGUACUCACUGACGUCUUUGCAUUUUUCUACAUUACGACAGUUAGCCGUCAAUUUGAUGCGAUCAAGGAAUAACGAAUGGUUUGUUUGGUGCUAGAUUUGGACGUGAUGAAGGAGAAGUUCGCCAAGCUGCUGCUGGGCGAGGACAUGUCGGGCACGGGCAAAGGCGUGUCGUCGGCGCUGGCGCUGUCGAAUGCCGUGACGAACCUGGCUGCGUCCGUGUUCGGCGAGCACCGCAAGCUGGAGCCCAUGGCGCCCGACACCAAGGAGCGCUGGAAGAAGGAGGUGGGCUGGCUGCUGUCCGUCACGGACCACAUCGUGGAGUUCGUGCCCACGCGCCAGACCGCCGAGAACGGCACCACCAUGGAGAUCAUGUCCACGUCGCAGCGCCGCGACCUCGCCAUGAACAUCCCCGCCCUGCGCAAGCUCGACGCCAUGCUCAUCGUCAGUACAGACAGUACUUCUUUCUGGCUGCUGCAAUGCAACUCGAGUUAAAUCGAUAAUUGUUGAUUGAGAUCAAAUGCACAGGGGUACAUGGACAACUUCGUGGACCAGACGGAGUUCUGGUACGAGAAGGGCGGCGACAACAAGCGCGACGACGACAAGUGGUGGAUGCCGACGGUGAAAGUGCCCGCGGAGGGGCUGUCGGAGGUGACCCGGAGGUGGCUGCAGUACCAGAAGGAGUGCGUGAACCAGGUGCUGAAGGCGGCCAUGGCCAUCAACGCGCAGGUGCUGGUGGAGAUGGAGAUCCCGGAGGUGUACAUCGAGUCGCUGCCCAAGAAGGGCAAGACGAGCCUGGGCGACGCCAUCUACCGCAGCAUCACGGACGAGGACUUCGACCCCAUCGAGUUCCUGGAAGGCGUGGACCUCUCCACGGAGCACAAGGUGCUCGACCUCAAGAACCGCAUCGAGGCCUCCACCAUCAUCUGGAAGCGCAAGAUGCAGACCAAGGACACCAAGUCCUCCUGGGGCUCCAUCAUCAGCUUCGAGAAGCGCGAGCAGUUCGAGGAGCGCGCCGAGACCAUCCUCCACCUCCUCAAGCUCCAGUUCCCCGGCACCCCCCAGUCCCAGCUCGACAUCUCCAAGAUCCAAUACAACAGGGUACGUACGUUGCAAUGUUGCAUACAUGACCCAUUUAUGUUGCGUUGUGGGGAAUUUGGAUUGACGCCCGUCAUCAAUCAUGUUGUAAAAUGCAGGAUGUGGGGUACGCGCUGUUGGAGAGCUACUCGAGGGUGCUGGAGAGCCUGGCGUACAGCGUGAUGUCGAGGAUCGAGGACGUGCUGGGGGCGGACGCGGCGGCGACGAACCUGACGGCGAGCGAGGCGGCGAGGAGGCAGGAGAUGGACGCGCCGAGGAAGCUGGACGCCAGGGAGGAGCUGGAGAAGCUCAACGAGGCGCCGGCGUCCAUGACGCUCUACGACUUCAUGGGCUGGCACUUCGACCAGGACGAGCUCAUGCGGAAGAAGGAGGAAGGCACGCUCGACGAGGCCGGCGAGGCCAAGCUCAAGAAGGCGCCCAGCCAGCUCGCGCCCAAGAAGUUCUCCUACGUCGACAGCCUCGCCGGAUCAGGCAUGCGGAGCCCCUCCGCGCGCCAUUGAUACUUCAUUUCUUCGUCGUUACAGAACUGGCACAAAUUGAGCAAGACAACAAUGGGGGACGAUGGAUGGAUCCAACAGCAGAGAUGGGCAUGGCUAUUGUACAUAUCUGGGGCACACAACACACACACACGCUACGUACUGGAGAUCGAUCUUCACUGGACUGCCGAGAGAUCACCAUCAGCUCGAACCGAUCAGUCGGCCUCGUUCUUCUCCUACCGACCCUAUCUUCUUGACAAGGGGAAAGAAAGAACGAAGACGAUGAUCUGAUCUGCUGACUCUACAAUUUACUAGUACAUCUCUUUGCUCUCCGUCCGACAUGCAAGAAGGGUUGCUGUUGUACGUACGUAGCUACUGAUUUUCACACAAACAAACAAACAAAACCUAGUAUGUAUUUUUGUACCUAGUUCUGAAUUUACUCUCCGGAAGAGGAGACGCUAAACUCUGGGGUAUAUGUAUGCGACUUACUACUACCACGCGGCCAAACACAUUGUAUAUUCAUUCAUUUGAUUCAAGCUAAUCUUUUCUAGACUCGAUUCUCCUAUUUGAAUGCUUAUUUCUUGCCUGGCUAUUAUAUUGUCAAAGAGACUCAGAAACACACUUGCUUUGCCUCAUGGACUCCAGCCUCAAAACUUUUCCAUCACACAGGACACGGCACUACAGUACAGUCAGUACUGGCUUGUACACGGAAACAUGAUUUGCCUAAGUAUCCGUUUAAGCCAUGCCAGGGGAUCCCAACUCCUUUCUGCUGACUACAGUACAGAGAGCAAUGUGCAUCAGAUUGAGGCUGCUUGCUAUUUACUCCUCCCAACCCCCCAGGGGAAUACCAAAUCAUUGAAACCGAUGAAAAUGUGAAGGCAAAAAAAAGAGACAAAACCACAUAUAACUUGACUUGCUAACUAACCCCUCAUUUUCAUUGCUCUAUAGUAGAGAAAGAACGAAACAACACACUUACACUUUUAGCCGUAGGACCUGAGCCGAGGAUAUACAACAUCAUCAGCCUCAAGGAAUAACUGGAGCACUAUGUACAUCUGUUUAUACACAAGUCAGCUCUCUAAAUCAUUUUCCUGCCUGUGUUGAACCGAAGCUUUUGGGCUAGGAGUAUUGUGCUCUACAUAAUCAUCCGAAGCUUCCUCCUCAUCAUCUGAAGAUAGAAGAGAUGAUCCCAUCCAUGUUUUGAAACCAUCAUUUACGCGUCGUUGCAUCUCUGGGGUCACUUCUAUUGUGGUCUCAAGCAUCUCAAGGCCCACACUGUGGGUAGCAUAAUCACCCUCAUCAAGGACAGCUGCCGCUUUCCUUCUCAAGAAGAAGGCUGUGCCACCAUAUAGGAUUACCAAACCCCAUGCUGUAAUUUCAUAACACCAGAAGAGAGGGACCGAACAACUACUUCCAAGGGCCAGAAGCGUUGACCCAAGAAUUAUAGCCAUGAGACCAAAUAUGAUGGCAAAAACUGCAUUAAGUAUAGACAGGCAACGCACACCACCUGCAGAUCCAAGUUGAUAUUGAUUACUGAAGAAGUGUAGAUAUGCAUAACUGGAAGGGAAUGCAUUUUGAUAGUAAUUAUAUGUGCAUGCAUAAUAGGACCCAGUUCUACACACACGGAAGAGAACUAUGACCGGUGAUACCGGUACCAAGUCACAUUAGGAAAAUACUUAAGUCCCUCCAUCCGGAAAUAAGUGAAUUGGAUUUGUAUAGAUUCUUAUACAAAUCCAAGUCACUUAUUUGACGGAGGGAGUACAACAGGUAUAUGAAAUUUCUGCCAUUCAUAACUGAUGCUGUGACUAGUUACUAUCUCAGAUUGGUAACACUCUUUAACAUAAACACAGCCAUAAGAUACUAAAUGGAUCUGGAAGACAAAGCCAUCGAAAAUAGUUGGCUCCCCAUUUAUCGCCCAUUGUAAAGCAAUGUUAAUGCAAUUGGUACCGUUGGACAAUUGUUUGUUGUUAGUUCAUUCAAGCCCCUCAUGGUAUUGUCAAAUCACUAGCAACAACCAAUGGAAACGAUGAUAGUAAAGAGUGCCACCAACCAAUGAAAGAGAUAUCAGUUGAGACUUGAGAGUCAACAAUCUCAAGAUCUACUGCUGGCCAAGUUCACUUUCUGUAAAAGAACAGUUUUACCAGCAUCUUUGCCAUAACUGAUACAAACUAUCAGCAAACACCAGUAGUGCAAAACCUAGAUUAAGAUGAUAUAGAUUUUCCCCAGUUAAAACCGAAUCAUGGUUCACCAGUUAACAUGUUAAAUUUGCAUAAAUUUACCAUAUUUGAGGUAUUCAUCAAAAUUGGGGGGCUUUAAUGCACAAUCAAACCUAUGACUAUUAACUGUGCCAUUCAAAAUAAGAAGAGACUGUAUCUGCACAAUUCUUGGAUGGGAGAAUGCUAGGCCUCAGAUCAAAAAAGGUUAACUGUGCCAUUCAAAAAAGGUUACCAGAAUGUAUAUUUCCAGAAACCUAACUCGCUGGAAUAUCUUAAAGACUAACUCAAAAAACAAAUGACCAUGCUAGCUCUUUGCUUUCUCAAUACCACUAUGCAUCCCAGAAUGCAAGCAACAAGACAUAGUUUGUACAAAGAUAACUGAGAAUAAUGACUUUCUGAACUCACCUCUUCUAGAAGCACAGAAGUUAUUCUCAACAAUACAGAUGAAUGGAUGCCUUCGUGGAGCAGCAUAUGCAACAGAUAUUCCUGCAGGUGUAUAUUGAUCUAAUAUUAGUACAUAUGAAGGGUAUCACUGGAAGUGGUAUGACAUUGAUGGAUACAGCCCAAAGAAAAACAGAUUUUUUAAUGCAAAAUAUACAUAAACAAUUGUUGCUCUUAGGGAAAACUGUAGGAUUAUGUAAGAAUUAAUGAACAAACAGAACCAAAGAAGGAACUUACACCACAAAAGUUAUCAAUGAGAAUCAUCUAUAGAUACUUGGAACUAUAGUAAAAUAGAAUAUCUAAGAAUCUACUACAGUAUCUACUAAAAUUUCCAGGUUCUCUGAAGUGAUAUUUUUUCCACCAAGGAUAUGCUAUCAAUGAAUUACAUAAAUAGUUCUGGCACAAGGAAGCAUCAUAUUACUUGAAGAACACCAAACUGUAUGAAGCUUAUAUGCAUACCACUAUCGAUAGUCAGGUUCAUGAUUUGGUGACAAUCUAGCUUGAAACUUACAAUUUAAUUAGUAUACUUCAUUAGUCACAGGAGAUAGGUCAUUUGCAAGAGAAUUCCAGUUUGUGCAGUUUUAUAGUUACAGCAAUUGACUGUAUAUCAACAAGGAUUACUUUCUCAUUCAGUAGAAAGACAUGAGUGCAAAGUGAAAAAAAGAAGUCAGAAGUGUUUUCUGAAAGUAAUCAGCUUUUAGUGCAUAAUUUGAGAACAACAGAUCAGGUCAAAUGAUCAUAAUUGUUAUUCCCUAAUAGCCUAUUUCGAGGAUGGUAUUCAUUUGAUAAAUGCUCUUUGCCCUGACAACUUUGAGGGGCUAAAAUCCUGAAUCUAAGCUAUAUCACUCUGAAACAUUCGUUUUAUGUACAUAAGAGCCUAGAACAAUUUUUUUGUCAGAUGACUAGCUACCCUUCUCCAUACAUUUAUUUGUAACUGGGGGUGCGUGGAUUAGGAGUAUUUAUUUAGGGAGCUUCCAUUUAGAUCAAGUUUGAACUAAAUUCCAAAGCUCACAUGAAAACUAGUCCCUCCGAUCCAUAAAAAGUGCCGCCUAUUUAGUACGUCCUCUGAUCCAUAUUAAUUGUCGAAAUAUUACAUGUAUCUAGACGCUUUUUAGCCAUAGAUAAAUCGAUAUUUAGGCAAUUUUGGGACAAUUAAUAUGGAUCGGAGGGAGUGCAAAAUUUGUACUGACUUAGUACAAAAUUGGAGACACUUUUUAUGGAUCGGAGGGAGUACAUCUCAUACAAACAGGCAUAGUUUCCCAGAAAGGCAGAUGCAAGCAAACUGAGAAUAUGAAAUGACACUGUUUUAAGAAGCGGACGCUUAACACGCAUAGGGCACUAGGUGCCACCUGACCACCUCACCCGACCAGUCAGUGACUAGGCGCUAGCUACCACCCUGCCAUCCCCUAGCAUUUACGCAUUUAAAACACAGGAUAAGGGUAUGUUCCACUAUAAAUAACUGCAUGACUCGAAUUUAGUAAUUUUGCAAUCUCUGACCCACAUUCGGACAAAUGGAUCAGCGAUAAAGCUUCAGAUCAGCUACUAUGAAUGAAAUAAGCAAGUAUUUGGAAAAAGUUACACAAUGUAAAUCUAAAUCUCUUAAUCUCAUUACACAACAGUUAUCUUUAUUUAUAUCUUUUGGGAAACUCAGUCUCAAAGCAACAAGGCUAUUUGUAUUGCAAGUGCUAUAUUUCAUAAUUGAGACAGGUCAAGUGUACCAUCCCAGCAUUGCACUUCUAUUAGUAUCCAUAGUCAUGUUGUAAUUUCACCAUAUUCCACAAGCAAAACAAGGCUUAUGAUGCCCAUCUGGGGUAAAAUGACCUAGCGUCCGGAAACAUGCCUCAUUCAUUUACCACCGAUCACUAUGCAAUAACCCAGCACCUAAUGUGGGAAGUGCUUCAUGAUUUUUGCAAUUCCUAUGAAGCAUUGGAUGCCGACAGCUAGAUGAGCGAAUUAACACUGUAACCUGGCUAUAUCGGAGCAGUACACAACACAAGGAGCGCAAGGGGGGACUCACCUGCUACAAGGUAGGCAGCAGAUGCGGCGAAGAGGACGGCGGAUGGCACGAAGACCACCAUCCAAUAGAAGUCGGCGGCCUCGGCUGUGGUCAUGUAGAACGCCCCACCUCGGUACCGGUACGCCUCGGGCUCCUCCUCCCGGCUGCUGGCAUUCGCCGGGAGCGCCUCCAGCAUGCGGCGUUCGCGGCAGAAGGGCCGCUCCGCGGGCUCGGCAGGGAACACGAUCCCGAGGCUGACCCCCGCCGCCGCGACGGCGGCCACGGCGACGCAGGCGGCAGCCAGCCCCGCGAGCGGGCGGCGGAGGCGCGGCAGCGCGCGCUCCUCGUGCCGCAGCGCCUCGUACGCGCCCCGCGGCAUGAUGGCCUGCCGGAGGGCGUCGCCAAGCAGUGCCAUCGGCGGCGGAAGGCUCGGUGGGCGGAGGCUACAGCCCUAGACGCGGUGUUGCCAGUAGGUGCAGGGAUUCGGGGCCGGGGAAGAGGGGAAAAGAGGAGGAACCGAGCCGCCGAGGAGGGAGGGCUUUUCGGUUGCCUUGCAGCAGAGGAAAAGACCACGAGUGUGGUGCGAUCUCUAGUUUUCUUUAGACGCUUUUUUUCUUUUGGCAAAGUCACACCUUUCGAUAUGGUUAUGCUCCGAAGUCCAAAAUUAUGGGAAAGAAAAUUGUUAAGGGAAAUUGUAAAAAGAUUUGAAAAUAUCAUUGUGGAUGUACAGGAUACUCCCCCUGCAUUAGCUGUUUUCUGCUUUCUACACGUAUCAAUGUAGAUUCUGGUGUUAUAUUGAGUGGUGCAAUGGCUAAUUUACGGGUAUCAAUGUAGAUGGGUCAUUUAAGUACAAACAGAACGUUGUCAUCUAGAAUCUCAUCAAUGCAAACCACAAUGAUUCGUGACCAGUCUUCAAUCAAUCUCCUUCCAUGCAUCUAGAAGGUCAUUAAGGUUGUUGUCAUUAACUUUUCAUGUGUGCAUUGCGUUGACACAUGGUUCGCUUUUUCAACCUCUGAUUUAUUCUUCCAAGCACAUGAAACAUGGGUUGUUCACAUUGAUUUCUAUUGGCAAUUACAUGUGGCAUUGGCUUUCUUAGCGAGCUCCUGUCGUCAUCAUCAUUGAGCUACUGGAUCGUCACACCUUUGGACACGAAAAGGAGUGUGGUGGAAGAAUUUCUAAAAUUAUCCAUGACACACGGUGUCGUAGUUCUAUGAGUAUACAUAAUUUUCCAUCUUUUAAUGGUUUGUUUGUAUUGUAGUAUUUUCAAAAGAAUGUUGAAGAAUUCUAAUUUAUAGGGGGGGAAAUGACAAGAGCCCUUUGAUCCAUAGGGAUUGGGGUUGUGGAAAUCGUGUGAAACACAUUCAUUAGAGCCCAAUUGCAUCCCAAUCCUAGAAUGAGCUCAUUUUUUUUUCUUUAACUAUUUAACUACUUCCCGAUCUAUUAUUUUUUGUUCCUAUUUAACUAAAUCUUGCCAAUAUGGAUUGAUUAAUUACAUGGAAUUAGUUAGUUUGAAUAGGUUCACGUCAUAGAGAAUUGCUUCCAAUCUUUAGCGACUAAUACCGGAGCUGGAUAUAAAUAAACAUUAAUAAUUGACCAAAUCUUUUUGAACUAAUUAAAGCUUUUUUAUGCUCUGAUCUACAUCAUCAAGUUAGUUUUCGGUCCUCAAAAACUAAUGCAAGGGCUGGAUUUGAAACUCAACUUUAUUAUGAGGCAUUGGCGAACGAUAAAAAAAAAUUAAGGUAGGGCGAACUAAUAUCCCUACACAUAACAUUUAAUAUUUAUUUAUGGUUGCAACAAUGUAUUUUGAUGUAUUUUUUUUUUAGUUUUUUAAUAAUUUGUAUGGCAUUGUAUUUUUCAACAUUUAAAAUUUGAAUAGGUGAAUUUGUAUUGAUUUUGGGAAUCAAUUUAAUAUUUACGAGUGCUCGUAACAAGGCGGCUACAAUAAGUCUCAUAGAAAUACAGAUCACUAGCAAACAUAUAGUUAUAUUUUUUGUAAAUACCUCAUCAAAAUAUGAAUGCGUGUUUGUGAUGAUCUUUGUGCUACGUAUCUUUGGUAAUCUAAUGUUUCAUACAACGCUAUAACAAAUAGAUAUGGAUUGUCAACUCAGGUUUUUGUAACUGUUAAUCUGUAGUUAUAUAUUUUAUUCUAGAAACAUCUCGGUACUUGCACACAAAAAAAGAUCAAGUAGAUACGUGACAUAGCAAACGAGACUAUUCUCAACAAAUAUAUUGUUACAUUAACAAUAGUAUAAAAAGUAUAAAAUAUAAAUGUAUUGUGUAUAAAAUAAUUGGGUCGGGCCGGCCCGAGGCCCCACCUGUGCCGUGUCUGGGCUUCAACCUCAGGCCCUCAGGCCGGGCCAGGCACGAACCGUUUAUUUAUUUUUCUUUUUUGGAUUAAUACAUUUGGCCAUUAACCUUUUCAAUUCUGGCCCAAGCCAACUCAUCUUUACAUUUGGCCCGUGAACUCAACUAGUUUUCGCCCAAAUCUAACAUUUUUUUUCUACCUUAGGCCUGAGGGGCCUUGCUGGGCCGUUGGCUACCUAUAUUUUGGCCCAUCCGUCCCUCAUCUUCCUCCUCACGUGCGCGAGCGCCGCCGCCCCUCCCUCCCCAUCCCGCUGCCAGGCGCUGCAGACCCCUGCCUCGUCUCCUCCACCGUAGGUAUCUAUCUCCCAUUCGAUUCUCUCGGUCCCGACCUCCCUUCACCCCACUAGGGGACGAACCCUUUAGCUCCCCGUCAUAAUCUUCCCCAAUUCGUAACUGAGGCAAAAAUCAAGGUAGGGCGGCCGCCCUACCUUGCCCUAUCGAGUCCUCCGCCCGUGUUAUGAGGUGACCACAAAAGGAUAGAUAGGUGAUCAUGAUAAGGAGAAUAUAUCAUAUAUUAUGUUAGCUCUAUCUCUAGUGGUACUACUAUGGCGCGGUAGUUUUUUAUGGGGAUCAACCACAAUUGCAUAUUCUCGAAAUUUGUGCCUCAAAAUGAUGUGAUCUUUGCUCUGAAAGAUCAAGACUGUUAUGAUGCAUAUUCCUAUAUAAGGGGAAGGAGGCACCUAUGAGAAGGGACCACAAACUACACCCAAAAAGAAAAGAAAAACAUAUGCAAGAGUCAUGCUUGAACACCCCGAGUAUAUAUGGAGCCAUAUCCAUCUCGUCUAGUUCUAGAUCCGAUCCUCUGGGUGGAUCGCCACAUUGACUUGAUACCCUGGUGGUCCUCUGGAGAUAAUAAAGAACAAAGCACGAUGUAGCCUUUUACCCUAAGCAAGACCUCAACCUGGGUAUAUCGGUGUCUAAUUCUACUUCCUGCUUUAUCGAAUCUUUGUUUGGCCAACAAUCGCCUCUUGCGUAUUAUUGAAUCUAUCAAACAUCUAUUUUCUUAUUUAUUGAGUCUUCGUUUGGAGAACAAUUGCCUCUCGUGUAUUGUUCAAUCGAACAUCUAUUUCCUCAUUUAAUGAAUGUUUGUUGGCCAACAAUCACCUCUUGUGUAUUGUUUUGAAUACAAGAUGAAUAGAUGAUUUGACCGAAUGAGUUCGAAUCAUUAUAUAUAUAAUAAUAAUAAUUAAUGUAUGCAAGUAGAAUAUAUUCACAAGGACUAUUCUAGGGCACCAAUUUGGAUGUCCAUAGGCUAGUCAAUCUUCAGAUUUACACCCCCGAGGGAGCUCACUUGAACUGCACAUUGCUAGAAAAUGUUUGGCCGAACUUCCAGCUGGGUGGCACCAAUUUUUUGAAUGCAAGUGUUUGGCCAUUAUUGUUGGUCACUCUGAAUGAGAGGCUCUGACCAGUGAGGUACGCCAGAGAGUGCCAAUUUGCACCCCAGUUGCGUGCCAUGGGCAUCCAAUCGGAUGAAUUGGCGCCCCUAACGUCCAUUGACUUGAUCGAACCAAUACCUCCGACAUUGGUCACAAGAACAAGCUGGAAGUAGUCAUGUCCGUUGAUCGUGAACCGCACACCGCCUCGCCUCACACAUGGAACCCUGCAGUUAGGCAUCAUUAGUCGAAGACAACCGCUACAAGUGACUUCGUCAAGAUUUUGUGACAUAUUUACUCUUUGCGGUGUGUGGCCGUGUGUGCUUCGGCACAGAGACUGGGUGUGUGAUACUCUUUGCUUGUAUCGUUCGAUAUAAACUUUGAGAUCAAUAAAAACUACCAUUUUCGGAAAAAAAAAUUACUCUUUGCAGCUUGCUUUUUUUUCUCGAUUUUGUUCUUCUUUUAUUAGGUACCUUCGGUACACAACUGGGAUGAUGCCGGCUCGAUAAACACCGAUCUUCUCCCAGGCCGGCUGCGCCAUGUCAAAGUGUGGUCGUGGUGGGUUGCACCAGCCACCAUUGUCGCUCGGCAAAUCGUAGUUGGGCGGGCAGAAAUUUGUGGCCGUGAUGGUCACCGUCUCACCGACUUUACACCACCCUGGGUCCACCAGCUUGCUGUCACACGCAAUCUUGUAACACUGCCCGCAAGAUGCCCCGUCAUUGAAGAGCGCCGUGCUCAGCGCUGCCGUGUUUGUGCCGUACCCCGUCGAGUACAGGUUGCCAUACCCGCAUGCACCACCUGCCGUAUGCAAACAUUCACCAUGACCAUGCCAAGAUUAGUUUCAAAGGGUUUCUGGAUCAGACUUAUUCUUAACAUGAUAUAUAUCUUUCCAGCAGAAAGAGUAACUAUGAUGUGUUAGCAAGGGCUAGUUUACCCAUGGUGCCGGCACCGUCCGCGCCCCCGUAAAAUGUCGCAUGCGCCUUCAGUAAUCCUCCACCAGAUGCAGGUGCGUCGACGUCGUCGGCGGUGACGGCCAACGCGCAGCCCAGUAGUGCGAGGACCAGCGGUGCUAACACCCUUGCUUGAGCCAUACCUUAAAACUGCACGAGGUCGCUGAAUAUACUUAAGCUGAAUGUUUAAAGUAUAUGAGAGGCAGGCAGGCAGGCAGCAGCAGUUUUGUUGGGUUCUAUUGCUGUUGCUGUGUGUCGAGAUUUGGGUCGAUGCGCAAUUGUUUCAUUGUUUCACAUAGUCUCGUGAUGAUUGGGUUGUGUACAUAUAGGGCUGGUGCCUGGAGCGACGCUGCACAGCAGGGAUGCAGAAUUGGUGGCUAAAUUCGUAACCAAGUGAACCCGAGGACGCCGUCGAAUGAAGCAAGCGCGGCGCCGGCAUGUGCAUGCACGGACAAAGCAGCUGACCGCACAAAAAGCUUGCUUGAUAUUCCGAACAAAGAUAUGGCAGCGCCGGCACGGUUUAUGCACUCCAUGUUUUUGUGUGUUUCAGUUUUUUCCCUCCUUUAAGAAAAAGUUUCCCGUAGUAGUUCAUUACUAGUCAACUUCUCAUUUUUCACAUUUUGCUUCGUAGACAUACACAAAUGCAAAUUCUCAAAUUAUAAAUGUGCAAGUUGCUCAUUUGACUUAGCGGUACAAAAUUGUACUACAUCAGCGACACUUGCUAUGGAUCAGGAUCAGAGAGAGGUCGCCAUCCAGACCGACGACCGUCUCCUCCGGGUCAGGACCUGCUUCACCUCCAUUUGUCGCACCGUGCCCCGUCGCUGCUGCCAUGCUGCUCCUGUCGUCGUGCGCCGGCUCUGUCUGCUUCGUCGCCAUCGCGCCCCUGCUGUACCGCCGACAAGGCACACCCUUCUCCGCCGCCGCCCCAGCUCGUCCCUGCUCCGCCGCCCAGCACCCCCCUUCUCCGCAGCGCGACAUGCUCCGCCCCUAGCCCACGCCGCUCCACCGUCGCUGGACCCCUGCUCCGCCCCUGGCCCGCGGGUCUCCGUGUCCGCCACGCCUCCGGCCCACGGGGCUCACCCGUUGUUGCCGCUGCCCUUCGCGGCCACCGGCCCGCAGGCCCCACGCUGUCUCACCGCUGCUGCACGUCGCGACUGCCGAACGCUGCCGCCCUUUGCGGUCGCCCAGCGCACGCCACCGCCCUUUGCGGCUGCCGCCCUGCGUGCCCCAUGCCACCGACAAGAGCUAUCGGGAGGAGGAGAUCAGGGGAGGAGGAGAGAGAAGAGAUCAGGGGAGGUGGAGGAGAGAGGAGAUAUGGAGGAGAUAUGGAGGAGAAAGAAAGUUGGGAGGAGAAUCGGGCGCGCUGUGUCUCUUGAUGGCCUUGCACGAAUUUCCAACAAUGCCGUACCAGAAGACAACGGACGCCAAUUAUUAAAUUACCCGUACAAUACAAAUAUGUAUGUAUCUAUAUAAAAAACGUUUAGAUACAUGUAAUAUUUCGACAAGUAAUAUGGAUGGGAGGCAGUAUGAAAAUCCAACAAACCACGCUUGGUUCUUGCGGUUGAGGGUUUACGGCACUCAAGUUUUUGAGCCAUUUGGUCAGAUGAAUCGAGUUCGUAUGCACAAGAUUUUGAGUGAAAAGUCUUUCAACUUUCCGCCAAAGUAAUUGGAACACGGGCUGGCCUUUUGUUGGUUCGCGUUCGCUCUGGCCUCUGGGGCUCUGCGCGCCGUAUCGAGCAUCGACCUUCGACCCGACCGUAUCUGGCUCUCUCGCCCGGUCGCCCCGCGUUUCGGCCCCACCUCGUUCUUCCCUGGAAUCUAGCCAGCCAGACAGACUUCCGUCCCCCUCUAUCGCCGGCGGCGGAGAACCUGCGGCGAGACGAGAUGACGGUGGCUGCGGGGGUGGGGUACGCGCUGAUCGCGCUGGGCCCCGCCUUCUCCCUCUUCACCGGCGUCAUCGCCAAGAAGCCCUUCCUCGUCCUCACCCUCCUCUCCAGGUCUCCCCCGAAACCCCAAUCGUCUCUUAAACCUCCACUGCUGCGUUUGGAUCAAAUCGUUUGUUCCGAUUUUAGUGUAGCAGUAUAGUAGAAUUAUACGCAGCUUCCCGAUUGGCGUAAGAAAUUCAGCUGAGGCGUUCACGUGGGGAUUCGUGAGGAUUUCGGUCGCUUCUUGGUUCGCUUGUGCUAGGGUUUGCAGUUCCUUGUGGACCUCUACUCUUUUUGCCUCGCUGGCCGGUUUGCUGCUUGCAAGAUCGAUCCGUAUGCUGCUUGCAAAAGCUAUCUUGUGAUGAAUGUUGCUGAUAAUAUUCCUCAUCAUACCUUGUGUUGGAGUGCAGGAUACAGAGUGUAUGAUUCACAGGAUGUACAUGAGUACUGUUGGGGCUUCUAGUUCUGACACAACAGGAAACUUAUAAUGUGAUAAGCAAUCUUUUUGGCUGUCUUCCAGAAUAAAUUGUAGAGAAUGUAAAAUGUUUUUUAAUGAAAUUCUAAAAAAAUAGUUGAUGGCAAAACAAAAUUCAAUCGUCAGAUCUGCUGUUACGUUUUCUGGUAUCAAGCCACUGCAAGGACUGAAUCUGUCUGUUCUCCAAGGAAAUUAAUUGUUAGAAAUCAUACGAGGGAUAUUUGCAAUAUUAUAUGGGAUGUUAGCAUAUUUGUUAUCUGGGAUGUUAGUACUGUGGACAGUAGAAUGUUUGUUUUUAUUCUGUAAACUAACAUUACUACUUUCAUGCCUGUGUGGACAUUGCUUGAAGUCUUCAUCUAUGAAAUUUGUUUAGAAUAAGAAAAUUCUACAGUGGCAGCAAAGCAGUGCGACCAUUAAAAUCUAUUCUCCUGUCCGCCUGCAAUCAUUCACAAUAUUUCAGUGUGCCCUUUGUUUGGAGAUGUAGAAUACACAAAAGUCUCAGUAGAAUGCCUGGUAUUGCUAACUGGUUAACAUACUUCAUCAAGAAACUUAAGGCUAUAUAUCUGUGAUAUGUGAUUUGGCAUUUUGUAAAACUUCCAAUCUGCUUCGUAUGGCUUCAUAAAGCAUAUCCAUGGCUUUUUUAGAUCAAAAAUAUCAUUUGAAAUCCUGUGUUGAAAAAGGAAACGCUUCAUGGAGGUAUCUGUAUGAUCCUAAACAAAAAGGUUCGUGACUCGGUCAUCUGAACAAUAGGAAUUCAAUCACCAAGCAAGUAGUAUCAUUAAGAAGGUACUGGGGGAUUUUGAAUCAUGUGAGCUUCUUCGGCUUAGUUUCUAUUAGACACAAGAUCAUGCUCUUACGCUUCUAAAUAAGGUCCAUUUUAGGACUUCUAUAUUCAUAUCCUUCUAAUUUUUGCCCAACUUCUGUGCAUUUAUUAAUUUGAGUAAUAUUCUCGACUAUUUUUGGGUAUGUCCUUCAGCAGUGAUGCAGCCAGGAGGAUGUGCACAGCCAGUAAGGCUACCUUUUUAUAGUGCGAUCAGGGUUAGAACUUAGGGAGGUUUUGAUCGUAUGAUGUCUUGCGUGUUUUAAUUUAUUGGAUUAGUUUCCAAAGCAACGGGAUUAGUUAUUAUUUGGUUCCCAAGAUAUCGGUUUUGCCUCGGAAGAAUCAGAAAGUCCACCGUCUAUAUUAGCAUAAGUAUUGUGCAAAUCUGGGCGAGCAACAUAAUCUAGAAACCAUCACUAUCUAUGUUGAUCUCAGAGCCCUGUUGUAGCAAUGAACUUUAUCUAGCAGAACGGCAAGUGGCUCACUCCCCAUAAUCGAUACCCUAUUCCAUCCAAACUCAACUGCUUGUGCUAUGAUUCUUAAGCCCCUAAAAUAGAAAGUUCUACUAUAUGUUCUGUUAUAACGAUCCAAAUGGAAAUACAUUAUCAUGAUUGAAAAUGUAAUUACUGCCAAAUUUAUUCGUGCAGCACAUUGUUUUGGCUUAUAAGUUUGAUAGUCAUCUCGGGAAUAUGGAGGGGGUUUCUUCCUGUAAAAUCAGGAGCAUGGUGGCCAUAUGUACUUCUGAUCCUUACAUCUGUUAUGUUUCAAGAAGGCAUCCGUCUUGUCUUCUGGAGGCUUUACAAGUAGGUAAACCAUAUAAAUUGUUGGAAGUUACUUCCUCUUGUUGGCAAUUCAUGUUCUUAUGUGCCAAAGUGCUUGCAAUAGAGGUUAUACAUUUAUUUAUUUUCCUUAUGAUAUAUCAUUGUUUCAGGAAAGUGGAAGAGAUGUUAGAUGCAUUUGCCGAUAGAAUAUCUAAACCACGUCUCUCUUUGACAGACAAGAUGCUCAUUUCUUUAAGUAAGUUUUUCUGGUAAUACAUAACUAUUGCUGGCUUGUGUUUUGCCCAGGAUUUUAACUGGUUAUAGACAGCUGCAGAUAUCUCUACGAUUGUUCUAUUUCUUUGAGUGAAUGUGUGCAUAUCAUAAUUGGAGAUGUGCUCAAUCAUGCCUCCAAUUUAAAAUGGGCCAUGCAUUGCAAAUAAAAUUCACAGCAUUUUAUAGUCAUCCACUAGAUCUUCAGGCGACUGUAAUUCAUUCCAACUCUAACAACAAGUAUUACACAGGCUAAUAGUUGCUUGUAGUAUUCUAAAUUUUGUAGUCGUGAUAGAGCAAGCAUAGCUUAUUCGGUUCUCCAACAUUUAAUCUGGAACGACAUAACCAUGGAUCAUAUUGUUGACUCAAGUGAAUGCUAAAUCCAAGGAUGUGCAUUCACUGAUUGAUUGAUGGGAAACAUUUGUUCUUCAUUACUCUUCAGGAUGUCACGAAUUACUACUGCCACAGUUCUUUGCUCAUCUCUAUAUUUAUAUGUUUGUGCAGCUGGUGGUUUAGGUCAUGGACUCGCUCAUGCAGUCUUUUUCUGUCUCAGCCUUUUAACUCCAGCAUUUGGUCGAGCCACAUUUUAUGUCGAAAGGUGCUCCAGGAUGCCAUUUUUCCUAGUGUCAGGCAAGUCAGAGUUUUCCUUUACUCCCUAAUAGUAGACACCAUGGAAUUGAAGAAACUUUCUUUCUAAUUGGAUGUCUGGUAAACAAAUUCCAGGACAACUAUUUUGGUUAUAACACAUUUUAUUCUAUGUUGUCAACAUAGUUUGUUUCUCCAAGAUCCAAUGGUUUUGGCUGCCAAACUGCAUUCUCCUGAAUUUGUUUUCCUUUGCUAAACCAUAUGUACUAUUUGCAGCCAUCAUUUCACUUGGAUUCUUGCUCAUCCAUACUUUCUCGAUGAUUAUUGCUUUUAAUGGAUAUGGAGAGAGAAAGAAAAGUGACCAGAUCUUUGUCCCAGUGGUUCAUUUGAUUGCUGCUGUAAUGGUAAGAACUGGGUCUUAGAUUGUUUUUGUUGGAUUAAAAUUCUCGCUGUCUCUUACAACUGGCCUGACAAUGCUUGAACAUAUUUAUGUUUGUUCUUUGCUUUAAUGAUCAUGUCUAUUGCAUUGGUCAUUUUCAUCUGACCCCAAUACAUUGAUGUAAAGAGGUCUUUGGUAAACUUUACCCCUUAUAUUGGGUCCAUCCAUUUACUCUUCACUAGUAUAAACUGUUGUCUACUGAAAUGUGGAAGAUUUAUCAAUGGAAGUUGAAUGCAGAAUACCAUAGGGUUGUUCAAAAACAAGUUCAGUUUUGCAAAAAAUGUAGUCUCAGGUUCCUUCAAGAUACUGUUAUUAUUGAACUGAAAUUUCUUUCCAUGUAGCUAAUUGCUUGUGUGUUGCUACAGAAGUUCUUCUAUUACAUGAGUUCUGUAAACACUUCUGCCAUCAAGGUUUCUAAUUUUGUGCGAAAUAGAAUAUUAUCUCAAAAUACACAUCAAUUGAUAGUGAUGCAUAUGCCUACUACAUAGAAUGUAUGAUCAUUGCUCUUAGCAACUUAACAGGUAGUCUAAGUGAGGGUGAACAGAUUGCCACCAACUCAGAUCUUUAUAAUGCUCCUUCCGUGUCAUAUUAAGUGACUCAAAUUUGCCCAAAUAUGGAUGUAUCUAUACCUAAAAAGCGUCUAGAUACAUGUAAUAUUUGGGCACUUAAUAUGGGACGGAUGGAGUAGUAUAAUAUAAUUUGUUGGCAACUUAAGAGGUAAUUUGUUGAGGGUAAACGAAUCUUCACCAACUCCGAUCUUUAUAAGGGUAAAGAAAAUCUGAUCAAAUGUACAGAAGCAUUGAUUGAGCAAACAUUGAAUAUUUGCUGUUUUCUGUAAUUUUGACACCUAUAGACUACUAAUUCUGUGUGGUUUUGAAGUAAUUUCAUAUUGCACGGAUGACUGAACAAUUGAAAUAUUUUCACCUAUUAUGAUUUUCAUCUAUAUCACUUCAUCGAGUUAAGGUAAUAAUAGUAUGUAUACCUCAACCAUGUAGUCCUUCCUUUUCUUUUUAGGGCGUAAUUUGUUUCAGUAAGACAAGCCUUUGAGCGACAAUUACUUCGUAAAUAUAUGAUUUAUUUGAUACAACAUCACAAUCAUUAAUGAGUACUUUUUUAAUACCAAUGUAAUGACAUUAAUUCUAUCUCAUAUAAAUUGCAUCCUAAUGAUGUAAUUUUUGGUCAAAGGCUUGUCUUAAUGAAACAAACUACACCCUAUAAAAAGAAAGAAUUCUACCAUAUGUUGUUGCUUUUGAUAAAUCAGAUUCAAACUAUGCAUUGCUGGAUUUAUGCCUAACCUAUUGUGUGAUUUGCUCAUUUCAGACACUAAUUAACCUUGCGCCAGGAGGCUGUCUCAUUGGUACGCCUUUGUUAUGCGUCAUGGCUGCGGUUACCUUACAGUACUCAUGGCGAAUGGUAGAGCAGAGACUAACUGAGCAGCAGCAUCGUCAGUUUAACAGCUAGCGUUUGCCCUAUGCUCGUUGCAUGAAAUUUCAUCUUGUAGGCUUGUCUGUAUGUUGUUCUUUUGCUAGGACAACAGUGCGUAGAUUUAGUGAUUAUGCUACUAGCGUGCUAAGAUUAUUAAAACAAUGUUCACGGUGAGCCCGUGCCUUUCUGUUGGGUUGCUCCUGGUACUUCUACUGUGAUGAUCUUAUUGUUAUAUGGAUAGGUGCAAAGUUUCAUCGCUCAGUUACUUUGCACUCUUGAUGAAUAUUCUCAUCCACAAGUACUUGCACUUAGUGACUACCCCGGCUAUCAUUAUAACUUAAACCAUUGCGCUACCAACUUGAUUUGGUUAAAGGGAAAUAUCCAGUGAAAACUCUCUUUGGGUGCAAACUUGCAAACUUUCGUCUUAGGCCAUCCGAUCUAAAACGUACCGUCCAGAUGAGAGGUGGGAAUGAAACCCAUCACUUAAACACGAUUUUUUUAGAAAACCCCCUGCCAAGCCCAGCUUUAGCGCGAUACAGGGAGAGAAAACGAUUCACAAGUCCCUGUUCCCGACUUCCUGUUCCCUGCCGAUGUGGCGAGUGGCGACCUGGAUAUCAUUGACGCCGGCGACCCUGCCCUCUCCUUGCAACGGCGACCAUCGAACCAGCCCUCUCCUCGCUAGGGAAGCCGGAGACCCGGCCCUCUACUCUUGACGGUGGCCGGUGCCCAACCCGAAACCCCUCUCCUCGGCCGCCUCACACCGCUCCUCUUGCGAGGGUAAAUCCGAGGCCACAGCCUUGCGGCGGCAUAGCAGCCGCGCGGGCGGCGGCGUUGCACCACGCAGUACCCAAGGAGGCGCUGGAACCCUGCUGCAGCCACCGCGACCUGGCGCCGCCCCGACCCCACGGCCGGGCGCGACGGCAAUCUCCUCGACGUUGCUUGCCUGGCGGCUGCGGCGCUGCGAAGGUCACCUUGUCGCCUGCCGUGGGCUGUAUGGCCUGAAUUUCUACGGCUGGUUGGUUUCUGAAGCUGCGAGCUGCUGUGUUGCUGGAGCCAUCCAAAUUGAUCGGGGAAGGAUGUGUUUCUGCAUCAUGAGUUGCUCCCUCGUUGCAAUCGUGGGUUUGUAAAACCAAAUCACAACUAUGCACGGCAGGGGACAAAGAAUCAGCGGCAAGGUUGCUUAUGACGGUCAGACAAUGGUGUGUGCUCAGAAGGGCGGGUCACGGCCGGCAGAGAACGGGCCGGGGCAUCACGGAUUCAUGGCCAUCGACAGAGCACGUGGCGGCGGAGCGCCUGGAAUAACAGUCCGCGGAGGAGUGCUGGACGGUCAGACGGGGCAAUUAGAUGUUUAGGAACAACCCUGCAGUCGGGAGGAAGGCCAACACCAGCUACCGGAACAACAUCGAUGCUCCAUCAGCGGGCAGCAAAGAAACCAUUAGACGGCGAAGAAACGAACCGUUUUUUCUUUUUACAUAAAAUGAAGCGUUAGGAAGCGGGGGGUUUCUGAAAAAUUGCGUCUAAGUGAUGGGUUUCAUUCCCACCUCUCAUCUGGACGGUACGUUUUAGAUCGGAUGGCUUAGGCCGAAAGUUUGCAAGUUUGCACCUAAAUAGAGUUUUCACUGGAUAUUUUCCCUUGUUAAAAGUGACAAUUAUUCAGUAACUUAGGUAUUUAUUUAUUUAUUUAUUUAUUUAUUUUCUUCCAUCCGGAAUGAUGUUGCAAUAUACCUCCUGUGCUUUGGAUGUGGAUUCCCAAAUGGUGGCUCUCUUCUAGAGUUAAGUUCAUAUAACCCUUGAACUAUGAGGGUGGGACUACUUUACCCCAUAACUUCAAAACCGGUUAUUUAACCUCCCUGAAAUUCGACAAAUCACCACUUGAGACCACAUCGAGCUGUUUUUGGGGUGGUUUUGCUGUCUUGGCGGCUGGGAAAUGUCACACUGUCUGAUUUAGGGCGGUAAUUAGUUUGAGCAUGAUCUAUAUAUAACAAAACGUCAUCAUUUCAGUUGCAUCUCAAAACGUGAAACUUCAAAGAGCAUGAAUUUGAUCAUGCUUAACACAAUGUAGAAAUAGCAUACACUUGUCCAAAAGCUAAGAUAGCUUGAACACGAGCAUGCUUAACAUAUCAAAAUAUCUAAAUUAGCCAGACACUAUUAACCCUCGUGAUGAGAGCGAGCUUCUCCUGUUGUCUAAUUUCAGCUCUGAGGAUGAACCCUAGUUUUCGGAAUGAAAAAGGAAGGAAAUAAAAGGGAAAUGGAAAAUGAGGAAGAUCUGAAAAAGUUGACGGGGCUUUCCCCGGCUAGACCAACUGAUCUCCGCGCUAAAAUUGACAUUAUGACAUUUGUCAGUCGCCAUGUCAGCAAAACGCCGGGGUGAUUUGUCUGGUUUUGUGAAAUUCAAGGGGUUAAGUAAUCGGUUUUGAAGUGCACAGAGUAAAAGUAGUUCCACCCUCGUGGUUCAGGGGGUUAUAUGGACUUAACUCUCUCUUGUAAUGCUAUAUUUUUAUUUUAUUUUGCGGAACCUACCUCCAAAACGUGAAGUAAAUACCAGCCCUCCUACUAAAAAUACAACAAUCCAAGUAGGUCUAGCUAAUUGCCUAGGUUUAUCUUCACUACAUGAUGUCCAUUUGUGUAGGCAGAAAAACUGCCGGCAAAAGUGACCUACGCCGACAGUUGAGGCUGCUUGCUAUAUUGCUGACGGGAAAGUUCCUUGGAUCAAAGUCUAGUCUUUUGUGGAUUCAAUUGUUAGAUUGCUUUAAAAAAAUAGUAUUGCCAUUAAUUUAGGAAUAAGUGAUUACAAAUCUGAAGGAUGCAAAAAAUUACAAAAAGGCCCUUUGUAACACAAGGGCUAUCCAACCACUCAUGGAGGGGACACGUGUAAGGCCAUGUGUUCUUGCUCCCUCUUGUAGUUAAAGAAUAUCUUGAACAAGCAUGGACGCUCCAACUGAUGCACUCACUGACUCACAUAAUUCAACAAAUGGAGUGACUGUGCUCUUCCGCCCUAAUUACAACACACAUGCUGUCAGGCAAACAGGUUUAGGAAGAUCUACGAAGUGCAUGCUGCAGUGUAAAGCUAGCUUGGGAAACUGAGUUAUCACGAGCAAGAAAUAUUUCCAGGAGAACAAUUAGUAGGGAACAAAAUCUGUUACUGGCUGACCAUAAGAAUGAUAUAUGAGCGCAACUGAAAUCCUCCAAGCACUCCACAAAAAAAAGAUUAAAAAAAAAAUCCUCCAAGCAGGAGCAGCUAGCACACAAUUGGAUGAUUUAUUAUACAGACUGUAUGUAGGAGUAAGUACUUUUACAAAAGCAAAUAUCAGCGGUUAACAUAAUCAAGCACACAGCCACAACAGUAAAUAGAUAAGCAAAGCAGCACACAGACUUUAGCACGUACGAGCUACACAUGCAUAAUCGCAAGAUCUACUUCAUGAAGCCCUGAGCCAUCUUGAACAGACCGCCGCCGCUCUCCUCCGCUUCAGGCUUCGGUGCAGGCUCCUUGGGCGCCUCCUCCUCCGCUUCCGGCUUCGGCGGCGCAUCGACGGCAGCAGCUGGAGGUGCCGCGGCGUCGGUAGGCUUCUCCUCGGUGCCGCCGGCGCUGUACUGCUUCAGGUACACCUCGGCCUUCUCCAUGUACUGCCCCACCGGCUUGUCCUCCAGCUUGGCGUAGGCGGAGGCGGAGUCCAGGAUCUCCGCAGAGGCGCCCGCGACCUUCUUCUUGUCCACGUUCUCCACGCUCUUCUCCUGGAACGCAGACAUGGCGGACUCCGCCACCAACUUGCCGCUCGACAUCAGGUCACCGGAUGACUUCUUGAAA
Molecule: long non-coding RNA, 28781 nt
Filed under: Brachypodium distachyon (stiff brome)
Lineage: Eukaryota; Viridiplantae; Streptophyta; Magnoliopsida; Poales; Poaceae
Description: long non-coding RNA (BDIS_LNC002935)
Rfam family: MIR1120/MIR1122 microRNA precursor family (bases 2735-2870)
Source: RNAcentral